ACCAGACUCCUACGGGAGGCAGCAGUGGGGAAUAUUGCACAAUGGGGGGAACCUUGAUGCAGCAACGCCGCGUGGGUGAAGAAGUACUCCGGUAUGUAAAGCCCUGUCAGCAGGGAAGAAAAUGACGGUACCUGACCAAGAAGCCCCGGCUAACUACGUGCCAGCAGCCGCGGUAAUACGUAGGAUCCGAGCAUUAUCCGGAGUGACUGGGUGUAAAGAGUUGCGUAGGUGGCAUAAUAAGUAGCUAGUGAAAUCUGGUGGCUCAACCAUUCAGACUAUUAGCUAAACUGUUAAGCUCGAGACCGUUAGGGGUAACUGGAAUUUCUAGUGUAGGAGUGAAAUCCGUAGAUAUUAGAAGGAACACCAAUAGCGUAGGCAGGUUACUGGGACGGUUCUGACACUAAGGCACGAAAGCGUAGGGAGCAAACGGGAUUAGAUACCCUGGUA
This 447-nucleotide ribosomal RNA is filed under the name uncultured bacterium. Its description in RNAcentral is "bacterial SSU rRNA". It matches the Rfam family "Bacterial small subunit ribosomal RNA", at positions 330 to 792 of the family's 1533-position model. The record is from RNAcentral.